This is a non-coding RNA of Podarcis lilfordi (Lilford's wall lizard), 69 nucleotides long. The record is from the annotation of a GenBank genome assembly. Lineage: Eukaryota; Metazoa; Chordata; Lepidosauria; Squamata; Lacertidae.
GCCGUAGCUCAGUGGCAGAGCACCUGCUUUGCAUGCAGAAGGUCUCUGGUUCAGUCCCUGGCAUCUCCA